AUACACAGAUUUCUUAGUGAGAUCCUAAGGGCCUACAGAGACAGGCUGACACCAACUCAACCCUUGAAACUGAGCAAUGAAGAGCCUGUGGGAGGCUAAAAAAUGCUGCUUCAAAAAGAUGUCCUUGUCUGUGAAUGUUAAUUUAGGUUAAUUUGCAGAUUUGAUUAAGGGUCUUGAGAUUAUUUUGGAUUAUCCAGGUGGGCUCUAGGGCCCUAGAUGCAAUCACAAGUGUCCUUAUAACAGGGAGGCAGAGGAAAAUUAAACAUGCACACACGAGAAAGAGAGAGAGAGAGAGAAAGAGAAAGAAAGUAAGUAAUAUGAAGACAGCAGCAGAGAUUGGAGCUUGGCAAUAGCCAAGCUAUGUCAGCAGCCGUCAGAAGUUGGAAGAGGCAAGGAAGGAUUUGAGCCUAGAGCCUUCGGAAGGAGCAUGGCCCUGUUGAUUCUGGCCUCCAGAACUGUGAGAAAAUACAUUUUUGUUGUUUUAAACCACCCAGUUUGUGGUAAUUUGUAACACCAGCUACAAGAAAUCAACACAAGGCUGAUGUGACUUUCCAUCAGGAGAGAGACAGCCCCAGGUAGGUGUUUCAGAUAUUACAUCCAACAGAACAAAGUAAAGACAAACACCCUAAAUUUUCAAUGUUGAUUUGUGAGCAAGUUAUUUCUCCUAUGGGUAACUCUCGUUGAAAUAUGCAAUUCAUUAUGUGGAAACAUGGAAUUGUUAUUUCCAUAGGUUAAAAAAAAAAAACCUCACAUAGUGGCAACAUAUGGCCCAACCUAAUAGUAUGUCCCAGGCAGACUAUACAAGAAUUUACAUAUUUACAGAUGAUUAAUGAUAAUCCCAAAUAAUCACAUUAAAAAACUAUAUCAAGUGCAUGGCUAUAAAUUUUGACAGGUGAUUACUAUGUGAAUUAGUAGUAGUACCUGCUUUUCUCUUUUGUCUGGCUUUAUUUUUUUGGCAAAAAUGCUAGACAACAUGGAAAAUCAGGGAAAUAGUCACAAUCUGAUUCAGUAACCUUUAAACAGCUUCUUCUCAGGUUACAUAGGCUAACUUUUAUAUCAGGAUCAGGAUCUGCAGAGCAAUUAGUAUAGUGCUCUGCAGAUCCUGGUCCUAAUAUAAUAUAGUAUAGCAGGAUCUGCAGACCCUAGUUGUACCUGGCCAUGCUCCCCACCAAUGACUGAGAAAGAAAUGGCUCAUUGUUCAAGAGAAAACAAUGGUCUUGAAAGACAACACAACAGUAGGUUACAAAGAGCAUUAGCUUUUUCUUUAAAGAAAUUCAAUGUAACCAGUGAAGGAUGAGAUUUUAAAUUAGAAAAAUGGAAAUCCUAUGAAUAAAAAACUAGUAAGCUCAAGAGCAGAAUCACUGUGGGGAAAAAAAAAAAACUGAAAAAUAACUUGCAGGUACCAUAGACAGGAAAUUGCCACUAGAGCAAACAGGAAACUUGUGAUAGAUAAAAAUGAAGUGUUUUCAUUUGGAACAAGAGACCAACUGAAGAGAGAUCAAGUGAAGGGGGUUUAUUUUAAUGACACACAAGGAUUCUUGUGGAAAUCAAACUGCCGGAGCCAAAAACAGGGCUCAACCUUCAAGAUUAGAGUUGUGUUCAAGUUGUUCAAGUUGACUCUGGGUCCCAAAGCAACAGCAAUUUCACUAAGGUUAUGCGUAAAAGGUGAAACCUGCCUGCCUGACAGCUUUCCCAGCCUCCUCCAGGCUCCCCUGUUUUCUCUUAUACACAUUCCCCCCCAGUAAACUUCUUGUACAUUUAAUGCCAUCUCAGUGUCUGCUCCCAAGAGGACCCCCACUGACUCACUGGGGCAUUUAACCUCCAAUUCCUUUCCUCCCCUGGCUGAGAUCUGUUCCAAGAAGUAUCUCCAGGACACUCCAGCCUGUUGCACAGGCCAAAGAAAAGCCCUCAGGCAGAGGAGCAAGUACUUGCAAGAGGACACCAGUGGCAAGAACAGGGACAUGGUGAGACAUCAACAUCAUUGGCUACAGUAGUACUAGUCACUCUUGACUGUUGUUUCAAUAGUUUUCCUUCUCAAAAACAUUUGUCACCUAUGUUGGAGUUAAUUCAGAGGACUGCUCCAAAAGAAAAAACUAAAAAGCAAAACCAGCUUUAUUAAAAUGGUUCUGGAUUUAUCUUUUGAGAAUUCCUUUCAUAAGAAAUAAUGUCCUUAAGCUAUAUCAGGAAUAAAAAUGUUCUGCUUGAGAUAGAAAAACUAUUGGUUUUAUGUACCCUACAUCAAAUUUCUAGUGUGAUGUUCAAACCCAUUCCUGAAACCUAUAGCCUGAUAGAUUUCAUAGGAUAAAAAGCCUGAGUUUAAGAGUUCUUAAAAGCAGAGUAAUUAGUCUAAUGGGUUUGGAAAUAAUAUGCAGUUUAAGGCCUAAAUGAUCUGCAUGUGAUACAUAUACAUGUUUAUAUGUUUUAUUCUACUUAAAAUGAGGAAUAGGUGUUCUGACUUUAAUCCUACUUAGUAAGCCAGUAAGGUGUAACAGAAAAUUCAUCCAGAAUGAAUACUGUUUUGGUUUGGCUGUUUCCCAACCCAGUCGCACCUUGAAUUGUAAUAAUCCCCACAUGUCAAGGGCAGGACCAGGUGGAGAUAGCUGAAUCAUGGCAGGUGGUUUCUGCCAUACUGUUCUGCUAGUGAGUUCUCAUGAAAUCUCAUAGUUUUAUAAGGGGCUUCCCCCUUCCCUCGACACUCAUUCUUUCUGUUGCCACCCUGUGAAGAUGUGCCUUUCGUCAUGAUUGUAAGUUUCCUGAGGCCUUCCCACCCAUGCAGAACUGUGAGUCAAUUAAACCGCUUCAUAAAUUACCUAGUCUUGGGUAUGUCCCUAUAGCAGCCUGAGAAUGAACUAAUACAAAGAUGUAGGGAUAAGAUAAAAUUAACAGAGGAAAUAGAGUGCAUGACACUGUUCUGCAUAUUAUGUUCUGAUCAAGGGUACACAUGGGCCUGCUCAUAGUCCCACUUUAUUAGUCAUUUGAAAUGCUGCAAACUUAGUCAUCAGGAAAAUACAAAAAAGGAUAUAUUUAAAAAUUAAUUUAAUGCUUGGCUAAAGCUUAAUUACAUAUAUAAUUAUCAAACGAUAGUCCUUAAUUUCCAAAAAAUUCCUCUUUUGAAAAUCACAGAAUCAGAAAGCAUAAACUUUAAAACAAGUUCUUUGAAUAUUUACAAUGUGAUAUAAACAUUAUAGAAGACCAUGGAUAUUAAAUUGCCUGGGUGUGGCUAAUCAGCAAGGCGUAUUCUUUAUUGCAUAUUUAACUCACAUAUGUGGGAUUUUAAAUAUGACAGACUACUAAAAUUCAAAUGCAUGUAUGUGCAAGCUGGGCAGGGAGUAAAAUCAUGAAUGAGACAGGACGGUCAGCCCAAAACCAUGCAAUUAGGUUGUGGGUUUAUUAUUCUCAAAAGUGAAAUUUCUAUGUUCCAUUUGAAAGUAUGUUGCAUAUAUCAUUUAGCAUUCACAUUAAACCCACAUUUGACUCUAACGCUGAUUCAAGGAAAAAAGUUCAACAUUCACUCAA
Cercocebus atys (sooty mangabey) is the source of this 3516-nucleotide long non-coding RNA. RefSeq lists it as uncharacterized. The transcript has 2 exons. Lineage: Eukaryota; Metazoa; Chordata; Mammalia; Primates; Cercopithecidae. The record is from RefSeq and is a predicted model, not a curated record.